Eriocheir sinensis (Chinese mitten crab) is the source of this 4080-nucleotide RNA transcript. It is a transcript of the gene named gamma-secretase subunit Aph-1-like, with no coding region annotated. Lineage: Eukaryota; Metazoa; Arthropoda; Malacostraca; Decapoda; Varunidae. The record is from RefSeq and is a predicted model, not a curated record. The transcript has 7 exons.
AGGUCGUGACGUCAUCUGUCAACACGGGAGCCUACCAGCACCAUCCCAGGGCGGCCCAGCGAGUGUCUCUUCCCGUUACUGUCUCCCCCUGAGCCUCGCCGAAGGGUGCCGCCCCAGCAUGACGGUGGCACAGUUCUUCGGCUGCGGCCUCAUCGCCUUCGGGCCGCCCCUCGCCAUGUUCGCCCUGACCAUCGCCAAAGACCCCAUCAGGACCAUUAUGCUUGUGGCCAGUGCAUUCUUCUGGCUGCUGGCGCUGCUGUUCUCCUCCAUCCUGUACACGGCCGUCGUGCAGCUGCAGGACAAACUCGCCUUUGGACUGGUCUUCUCAGUCCUGUUCCAGGAGCUGUUCAGGUUCCUCUGGUUCUUGCUCAUCCAGAAGGCUGAGGGUGGACUGAAGAAGGUCAGCGAUGGGAACGUUCAGAUUGUGGAGAACAAGAACAUUCUAGCAUACGUGUCUGGCCUGGGGUUCGGCAUCAUCUCUGGCGCCUUCUCCCUCGUCAACGUGCUGGCUGACAUGACGGGGCCUGGGACCAUUGGGCUGUACGGCGACCCCCACAACUUCUUCGUGGCUUCGGCCGUCAUCAGCCUGGCCUUCAUCCUGCUGCACGUGUUCUGGGGCAUCCUCUUCUUCAAUGCCCUCCACCGCCGGGCCUACCUACAGCUGGCCUAUGUCAUCCUGUGUCACCUCUUGGCCUCCUGCAUUACCCUCCUGAACCCCUGGUACUCCGUGACCAUCCCGACGGUGUGGAUCCUGACGGUGUUGUCCGGGCUGCUGGCCUUCAUCGUGGCCGGGGGUUCCCACCGGACCAUCCGUGCCGCCCUCAGGAGGUCCACCGCCACCACCGCCUCCACCCGGGUCCUGCAAGUCAGCGUGAACGAGGGAGCCGAGAACUCCUCUAACGCAGCACUUCUCUCUGCUGUGUGUUCAUGAAGAUUGGUGAUGCUGCUUCUCAUGUUGAGAUAUUUGGUAAAGAUUAUAAGACACAGCAUUAUGACCGUCACUCCCACCGACAUCCAUCUAGUGCCCUCAAUGAAGGUUUAUCUUGAUCAUUUGACAUUCCACCCAGCAUCUGGCGAGUAGAAGGCCUCUUGGUCCUUAACCCCGUGACUGCGAAUUUCCUACAAGAAGACAUCACCAAGGCUGCUUCAAUUCAAUGAGGAAAAAUGUAAAGUCAUGCACCUUGGGAGGGGAUAUCCAGCACCCCAAUACCACAUGGGAAACACUCCACUAUCCACCACAGAGGCACAAUAAGACCUGGAACUAUAUAUUACCAGGCUACCAGUAAAGGUGAAAUCCGUGCCAAUCACAGCAGACGGGUUAACAAAGGCUGUCUGCUGUGUUAUGGACUUGGUAGCAUGAUACUGAAAUAACAGCUUAAAUAAUAAUCACAAAGGUAUCAUGCAAGGGGAAGGGAUGGUGGGCAUGAAAAUACUGAUUCCACACUAGAUUAAUGUGAAUGUUAGGAUGGUAAGUGUUGCUGAUAGAUUAAUUUUUUAUAUGUCUUUCGCUCUCUGCUUUGACACCACUUAUAUGGAUGCAUUUUCAAGGUAUAUUUUCCAUCACGUUAAUAUUAUCUACUUGCGAUUUUUCUUAGUGCAAAAGGUCUUGAGUGUAUUCUAUAGUGACUUGAUUUUCAAUGUAUGUAAGUCCUUUGAGCAGUCGUUGCAUUCUAGGGUUGUAUGUUAGUGAAGUUUUUGAGGGAUUUAUGAAUGACAGGUCAUGAAAACUAGCCAAGAGCUGCUUUUUCUCUUUUUAAUUUUCUUUUCUUUUUCUAUUUCUUUUUCUUCUAUUCUUCUUGUCCAUUUUCUUCUUUCUUUUUCUCUAUUUUUUUUCUAUUUCUUUUUCUUCUCUCUUUUCUUAUCCUUUUCCUUCUUUUUCUUUUCUUCUCCUUCUUCGCUCUUCUUUUUUCUUUUUCAUCUUCUACUUCUACUUCUACUGACUGCUUCAUAUAUUUACAUUAUCAUCACCACCAUUGCUCCUCGAUGCCUGGCUGUUCCCUGCAUCCUCACAAGUAGUACGCAGGAGUCAGCUUGCACAUGAAUGACACCGAGUAUACAUAAUAGUAUACACAAUAUCUACAGGGUAUAACUGUUAACUGCUGAUGGUUUUGCCGAAUACUAACACUUGUAUCAUCUGUAUGUUUUGUAUUCAUAAGAUUCUUUCUCAAACAAGAUUAAUUGGGAGGAUCAAGGACAGUUCUUUUGUCUGGAUUGAAUUGAUGACUUUCGGUUACUUAAGACAGAAGUACAGACAGACUGUUUGUGCGGAUAAUGACUUAUAGAAUACUUGAAAUCGUAACGCGUAUGAUGCAAGGAAAAGUAUCAGGACUCAGCAGAGGUAGUGUUUAUUUCCCAUUUGCCGAGUGUAGGCAUUUUGGGUUGCUUAUUUAUAUACAUUUUACUAACAGACCGUGUGCAGACUGAACAUGACAAGUCUAACAUUGGUGUGCUGUAGGGCAACAUUAACCAAAGAUUGUAUCUCUAGCUUAUUGAUAAAGGUGACUAUACAGUGCCAUAAGAGUGAAGGCUAUGCUUCUUCAUGUUUCAUUUGGAUGUCUUGUGUUGGCUAUGCAUGAAGCAGGGGUGUAAUUUUUCUAGUUUUUCAUUGGAUUUCUUUUUUCACGUCAUUUUAGGCAACCCACGCAUAUGUUGAGACGAAAAGGGGACAGGGUGUGACCAUGACGAGAGGGAGGUUUGACAGGCCUAUGUGGUACUUGAUUACCCAUUGAUAUAUAUUUCUAAUUUAAUUUAGUGGAGUGUUCACAAGUAAACCAAAAUAUAAUGAAAUCAUUUCUUUAUUUUUAUGGGUUAAUUAUUGUUACAUUCUGUUUUGUAUGUUAUUUUUUUUACCAUAUUUGUAAUUUUCUGGUAAUGCAUUGCACCUGGUAGUUAUUGUCCUAAACAAAAAACAUGUAGGUGCCAAAAAACUAUGACACCAGAAACCAUUACCUACUGGUUUAAAAUACCAAAAGACCUUUAUAUUUGGCUACAAGACUUCCCACCCAGUUUUGUGAUGCAAGGUGGAAACAAGCGUUCACUUAUGGUAUGAAAUAAUAACGGAAUGGUCUUUCAACACCUUCAUUGAGUGUCAUGACCUCUGCUCACUAGAUGGCAGCAGCCUUGUUGUGGCCGCCUUGACCUGCCCAGACAGUGCUCCUCGUGACUUUCAACAUGAACUUAGACAAGGAUGAAGAAGAACUAAAUAUGCUUUAUCAUCAACAUGUAAUUUAUUGGUGAUUACAAAAACAGAUAAUGACAGUUGCCAACAUGAUUCCUGCUGUCACAAUACACAGGUCAGAGGUUGAGGAACAAAACUUGCCAUACAGAAUAUUUUUGAAGGAUGCUGGACGGCAGCACAUGUAGCGUAGUGACCACUGGCUCAAAAAAUAAUGUAGCUUUCAUAACCCUGAGACCGUCACAGUCAGUUGUGUAUAUUUCUCAAACUGACGGACAUCAUGUGGGUGAAAACAUUUUUAUAAUCAAAUGUAUCUGAAUUGUACUUAAUGAAAAGUUUCUACUCAAAAUGCAUACCUCAAUGAUUUGAUAUAUGCCUCUUAGGUAUAUUACUUUAUAGUUUUGCAUUAGCUUAAUAAAAUAUCAAUGCUGAUGGCAAGGUUCCAAUUGUAUUAGUAUAUAUUUUCAUAUAGCGGCAGUUCUGUAAGUAAGCUUAACCUGGUAGCUGCGAGGAUCAUAUUUCUUAACCUAACCUAACCUAACCUAACCUAAGCAAAUUAAUGAGAAAAAAUCAUCACUCACGCAAACCAUUUCAUAAUAUAUAUCAAUGCAUUUGUGAUCAGUUUAUGCAUCAUAUAUUUUUGGGGGUUUAUAUCAUGGCAAAAAUUUGGCCCGUCGCUGCUACUGGGUUAAAAACUGCUAAGUGUACUGUUGAUAUUUGUCUUUGUAUGGUUGGGAAAACUUCAGUAUGCAGGUGAAUAUAUGAACAUGUAUAUUUUGCUAGCUUAUUGUAAUGAUGGAUGCAUAGUUUCCAUUUUGUUAAGCAAGGUUGUGACAUCAUAACUUAAUGCUGUUGGAGAGUGACAAGAAUUGAUAUGGUUUGACAUAAUUGAUCUGUUAAUCAUA